RNAcentral lists this ribosomal RNA (254 nucleotides) under uncultured bacterium. RNAcentral's name for it is "partial 16S ribosomal RNA". It matches the Rfam family "Bacterial small subunit ribosomal RNA", at positions 524 to 777 of the family's 1533-position model. The record is from RNAcentral.
UACAGAGGGGGCAAGCGUUGUUCGGAAUUACUGGGCGUAAAGGGCGCGUAGGCGGCCUGUUAAGUCGAACGUGAAAUCCCUGGGCUCAACCCAGGAACUGCGUCCGAUACUGGCAGGCUUGAAUUCGGGAGAGGGAUGCGGAAUUCCAGGUGUAGCGGUGAAAUGCGUAGAUAUCUGGAGGAACACCGGUGGCGAAGGCGGCAUCCUGGACCGAUAUUGACGCUGAGGCGCGAAAGCCAGGGGAGCAAACGGGG